GGAGAGGUGUCCGAGCUGGCUUAAGGAGCACGACUGGAAAUCGUGUAGGUGAGGGCAACUCGCCUCGGGGGUUCGAAUCCCCCCCUCUCCGCCA
This 94-nucleotide transfer RNA is filed under the name Actinobacteria bacterium ADurb.Bin444. Its description in RNAcentral is "tRNA-Ser". It matches the Rfam family "tRNA". From Rfam's summary of the family: Transfer RNA (tRNA) molecules are approximately 80 nucleotides in length. Their secondary structure includes four short double-helical elements and three loops (D, anti-codon, and T loops). The record is from RNAcentral. RNAcentral also lists the same sequence under 1 other name. Lineage: Bacteria; Bacillati; Actinomycetota.